GGAACCGUUGAUUCGCACA
RNAcentral lists this small RNA (19 nucleotides) under Arabidopsis thaliana (thale cress). Its description in RNAcentral is "AGO1_4000". Lineage: Eukaryota; Viridiplantae; Streptophyta; Magnoliopsida; Brassicales; Brassicaceae. The record is from RNAcentral.